This 1500-nucleotide ribosomal RNA is filed under the name uncultured marine bacterium. Its description in RNAcentral is "16S ribosomal RNA". It matches the Rfam family "Bacterial small subunit ribosomal RNA". The record is from RNAcentral.
GAGUUUGAUCAUGGCUCAGGAUGAACGCUAGCGGCAGGCUUAACACAUGCAAGUCGAGGGGUAACAGGGAUUGCUUGCAAUCCGCUGACGACCGGCGCACGGGUGCGUAACGCGUAUGCAACCUACCUUCUACAGGGGGAUAGUCAAUAGAAAUGUUGAAUAAUACCCCAUACGAUCUUUGAAUAGCAUUAUUUAAAGAAGAAAGUUCCGGCGGUAGAAGAUGGGCAUGCGUCCUAUUAGUUAGUUGGAGAGGUAACGGCUCCCCAAGACAUCGAUAGGUAGGGGUCCUGAGAGGGAGACCCCCCACACUGGUACUGAGACACGGACCAGACUCCUACGGGAGGCAGCAGUGAGGAAUAUUGGACAAUGGAGGCAACUCUGAUCCAGCCAUGCCGCGUGCAGGAAGACUGCCCUAUGGGUUGUAAACUGCUUUUAUACAGGAAGAAAUGUACCUACGUGUAGGUAUUUGACGGUACUGUACGAAUAAGGAUCGGCUAACUCCGUGCCAGCAGCCGCGGUAAUACGGAGGAUCCAAGCGUUAUCCGGAAUCAUUGGGUUUAAAGGGUCCGUAGGCGGUCUUUUAAGUCAGAUGUGAAAUCCCCGAGCUCAACUUGGGAACUGCGUUUGAAACUGUAAGACUAGAGUGUGUCAGAGGGGGGUAGAAUUCCAAGUGUAGCAGUGAAAUGCGUAGAGAUUUGGAGGAAUACCAAUGGCGAAGGCAGCCCCCUGGGAUAACACUGACGCUCAUGCACGAAAGCGUGGGGAGCAAACAGGAUUAGAUACCCUGGUAGUCCACGCCCUAAACGAUGUCUACUAGUUGUUGGUGGAGUAAAAUCCAUGAGUAACGCAGCUAACGCGUGAAGUAGACCGCCUGGGGAGUACGGUCGCAAGAUUAAAACUCAAAUGAAUUGACGGGGGCCCGCACAAGCGGUGGAUUAUGUGGAUUAAUUCGACGCAACGCGAAAAACCUUACCUGGCCUUGACAUGUACCGAAUUUAGCAGAGAUGCUUUAGUGCUCGAAAGAGAACGGUAACACAGGUGCUGCAUGGCUGUCGUCAGCUCGUGUCGUGAGAUGUUGGGUUAAGUCCCGCAACGAGCGCAACCCUUGCCAUUAAUUGCCAUCAUUUAGUUGGGCACUUUAAUGGGACUGCCGGUGACAAACCGGAGGAAGGUGGGGAUGACGUCAAGUCCUCAUGGCCCUUAUGGCCAGGGCUUCGCACGUAAUACAAUGGUCGGUACAGAGGGAAGCCAACCCGCGAGGGGGAGCCAAUCUCAGAAAGCCGGUCGUAGUCCGGAUUGUUGUCUGCAACUCGACAGCAUGAAGUCGGAAUCGCUAGUAAUCGCGGAUCAGCAUGUCGCGGUGAACACGUUCCCGGGCCUUGUACACACCGCCCGUCACACCAUGGGAGUGGGUUUUACCAGAAGUAGUUAGUCUAUCCGCAAGGGGGACGAUUACCACGGUAGGAUUCAUGACUGGGGUGAAGUCGUAACAAGGUAACC